AGCGGCAGCGCGGUAGCAAUACUGGCGGCGAGCGGCGGACGGGUGAGUAACGCUUGGGAAUCUGCCUUUUAGUGGGGGACAACCCGGGGAAACUCGGGCUAAUACCGCAUACGCUCUACGGAGGAAAGCCGGGGACCGCAAGGCCUGGCGCUAAAAGAUGAGCCCAAGUCGGAUUAGCUAGUUGGUAGGGUAACGGCCUACCAAGGCGACAAUCCGUAGCUGGUCUGAGAGGACGACCAGCCACACCGGAACUGAGACACGGUCCGGACUCCUACGGGAGGCAGCAGUGGGGAAUAUUGGACAAUGGGGGCAACCCUGAUCCAGCGACGCCGCGUGGGUGAAGAAGGCCUGCGGGUUGUAAAGCCCUUUCGGUGGGGAAGAAAAGUUGCGACCUAACACGUCGCGACCUUGACGUAACCCACUAAAGAAGCACCGGCUAACUCUGUGCCAGCAGCCGCGGUAAUACAGAGGGUGCGAGCGUUAAUCGGAAUUACUGGGCGUAAAGCGCGCGUAGGCGGCUUUGCAAGUCGGGUGUGAAAUCCCCAGGCCUAACCUGGGAACUGCACCCGAGACUGCAUGGCUAGAGUAUCGGAGAGGGAAGUGGAAUUUCAGGUGUAGCGGUGAAAUGCGUAGAUAUCUGAAGGAACAUCAGUGGCGAAAGCGACUUCCUGGACGAAUACUGACGCUCAUGUGCGAAAGCGUGGGGAGCAAACAGGAUUAGAUACCCUGGUAGUCCACGCCAUAAACGAUGAGAACUGGA
RNAcentral lists this ribosomal RNA (760 nucleotides) under uncultured Pseudomonadota bacterium. Its description in RNAcentral is "bacterial SSU rRNA". It matches the Rfam family "Bacterial small subunit ribosomal RNA", at positions 65 to 820 of the family's 1533-position model. Lineage: Bacteria; Pseudomonadati; Pseudomonadota. The record is from RNAcentral.